CUCUGUUCUUCUUUCAAAUCCAAGGCCAGGCCACAGGAACAGGUUCUUCCUUUGUUUGGAAAACUCCUCUAGGACUCCAGAGAGUCAGAGCCUGGACAAGGAGAAAGGGAGCCUCAAGGCUGGGGAGCCUGUCCUCAUAGGAAUGGGUCCUGUGAAGUCACAGAGACAGACAGGAGGCACUGGAUAAUGAAGACGAGUCUUCAAAUCGAUAGUGAUGUGGUCGCCAGCACUGAAAUCCUGUAGUCCUGCCCUUGCUGGAGGAGCUCCAGGGAUGUGGAAACCAGAACUAUUUCACUUUCUUCUUAAUAACCCUGUAAGCGUGAUGAUCACAGCAUCAAGAGACAAUAGGAAGGGGUGAGGACUGUGGCAAACCAGAGACCAUGCGGCCAGGGUGAAGGGGAAGCUGCGACUCAGCUUGUCCGAUUUUUCCAGGGAGGGGGGCAGUACUGGCAGACUUCCUGAUUUUCAAAAAAGAAGCCAGAAUUUCACUUUUUUUUUUGAGAGAGAGAGUGAGACAGAGCGUGAGUGGAGGAGGGACAGAAAGACAGGCAGACAGAGAAUCGGAAGCGGGCUCCAGGCUCUGGGCUGUCAGCACAGAGCUCAACGUGGGGCUUGAACUCACGAGCUGUAAGAUCGUGACCUGAGCCGAAGUUGGACGCUUAACCGACUAAACCACCCAGGCGCCCCCCACCUUCUUUUUAAUGAGGAUUUUCCACGUUUAAAAAAGUUAUCGGUGAGCAUAAAGCCGGGAGCCAGAUCGAGUCACUGCUCCACCAGUUUGCGACCUCUAACACUGGCGCGUGUCCGACCCUUGGCGGACAGAUGGCAUCCCGUUUCCCAACACGGACGCCCUCCUGCUCUGCUGUCCUCUGCCUCCUCCACGCCUCAGCCAGCCUGACCCCUCUGCCCAUAGCACACACUCCCAGCUGCUCCGAAGGCUGCAGGGAGUUCACGCACCACGUCCAGGCCAACGUGACAGAAAUGCCAAGGCCAGAGUCUGCUGGGGAAACACUGGGGGGUGAGCAGGAGGUGGGAGAGGGCAGCUGAGCGCUCUGAGGAGCUUCCAAAAUGCCAAUUUCUUAGGAACGGGGAAAGAAGGAAGGUGGCAUAGCAACAGCUGGCUCUGGGCAGUGAGCAAUCCUGUAUGAAAAUAAAACAUUUUACAAUCCACAACCGUGGCUCAUUAAGAAUGAAUGGAUCUACUGGUAUAAAUAGCACGCUGCGUUAAGAAGUCAGGAAACAGCAUAUGCGUUUGAUGGAAAAACGGCUGCCACGGAACUGCUUAUUAGCUCCGUCGGCUGCAGCUCCGCACUAACGAGACAGAGGUCUCUGGUUCAACGCUUUGGAGGGUCAUGUGGAUUUCUUGACCUUGGGCCGUAGAAUGCAUCCCCAUCUCCCCAGCCCCAGUCACAAUAUGGGGGCAGAUUCUGCACACACAGUAACGAGCCCCUAGUGAGUUUCCCCCAGUUUCUGAAGCACAGUAUCCUCUAUAAUAUAAAGUAUCCAAUAUGCUCUACUAUAAUA
Long non-coding RNA from Acinonyx jubatus (cheetah), 1524 nucleotides. RefSeq lists it as uncharacterized. Lineage: Eukaryota; Metazoa; Chordata; Mammalia; Carnivora; Felidae. The transcript has 3 exons. The record is from RefSeq and is a predicted model, not a curated record.